UGCAAUUGUCCAAGUACAAAAAUCUGCUGUACGUUAUUGCACUUAAUGUUACUUGCCUGUAUCAAAUGCCAGUACAGACGCACAUGUUUUUGCAGGUUAUUUUGUGCAAGACUAAUUAUUAGCUAAUGUCGAAAUUGUAUCUGCUGCUGUGCUGUUACUGAGUAGCUGCUUUCUGAUGAAUUGUUUCCUGUACAAGAAAUAAAAAGAAUCUAAGCCAUGUGAAUAUCUCACUUACUGGUACCAGCUGAUAAGCUGAGCUAUUCAAGUAGCUCACUGCAGCAUCUUCAGGUGCUUCGAUUUCAUUACCCUACAUAAAAUCUUGUUUUAAUUCCCCCUUUGCAAUUAGCCUCCUGCUGGUCUAAGAAACAACCCCAAGAAGAGAUUGGGGCUUGAAGUGCAGAGUGAGGCUAUAUGGCCUUGUCCUUUGGCAGAGAUCAGGUUAGACAGCUUUAAUGAUUUCUAGAACUUAAAAAGCACUGCUAAGCUCUUUGCUUCUUUUCAGCUUUUUUUUUUUUUGUUGUUUUUUUGCUGGUAUUAUAAUAUCUCUGAUAAAUGUUGUUCUUUCUGGUUUGAGUAAUGGUAGUUGGUAGCUAUUGAACAGCAAUUGAUUGUCCUGGUUAGUCAGGGAUGAAUUGGAAAUGCAAAAAUGAAUUUCCCUCCUGGGUUGGAGCGUUCACAGGUAAACAGUGUCCUGCAGAAGGCUGCCCUUGCCUAACACCAGGAAUCUGACAGGUUCAGAUUUGGCCAGUGUAAUAUCAGGAAUGUGAAUAGUCACAUCUAAACAUGAAGAGGCGGGGAGUGGUGCCUUGGCUGUAUAGCUGAGUGAUACCAAUUAACAAUUGCCUAAUCUGUGCUUUCCCUCUUCUUCCCCAGGGGAGCUGUGGCCAGACUGCAUCAGGGACGGUCACCAGUACGUCUUGCCCCAGUAUGCUUCGUAUGGGCGCAGUCUGGAAGAGAGCUUGUGGGCCAGCAGGAAGGCAGAGAAUGCUAACGGAGAGUUGAAAAGACACGAGGGGAAGGUCUAUAAUCUACCCUGGGAAUUUAAAGAAUCUGGAGAUUGUUAAUAGCAGGUGUCACAGCUGCUUGGAGUAUGGUGGGAAGGAAGAAGAGGAGCUCUGUAGAGAAAUCUGUCCAUUGGCUAUAAAGACGGUUGUGCUAAGCUUUGAGCACCAAGUUCCACAG
Molecule: long non-coding RNA, 1182 nt
Filed under: Cairina moschata (Muscovy duck)
Lineage: Eukaryota; Metazoa; Chordata; Aves; Anseriformes; Anatidae
Description: domestica (muscovy Duck (domestic type)) lncRNA (ENSCMMG00000008299.1)
Source: RNAcentral